CGCGGCCAGUCCGUCCGCCGAGCUGCGAGCGGCUCGCAGGCAGCCGGGUCCGGGGGGGCUGGCACCGACACUGCCCCCGGGCUGCGGGCGGAGGCGCGUUAUCUCUCUGACAUAGCGCCCUCCCCGCCGCGGGGUCCAACGCGCCGCAUCAUCCCCGCGGCCGCUCCGCGGAGGCGCCGAAACCCGCCGGGAGCGGGGCUGCGGGGCUGCCGGCUGCUGCUCAGCGCCCGCCCCCGCCGGUGCCGCUGCCGGUGCGGAUCUCGGGCAGGGCGGCAGCGAGGAGCCCGCUCGCUAGGCAGGGCGAGCGGCGCCCGAGGAUGCUCCCCUGGCCCGCGGCUGGCAGGGGAGAUGCCCUCCCCGGAGCAGCACCAUUUACGUAAGAUCAGCGCUCACCCCGCUUCAGAAGCGUCUCCCUGGAUUUGAGGGAGGGUUGGGAAGGAGGAAAAAAAAAAAAAAAAAAAAAAGCUCCACCACCGCCAAGCUGAAAGAAGCCAGCGAGGAGCAGGAGGAAAGCCGAUCCGCAGGAACCUACUACUCAACACCAGGCACUGAAUGGAAGAGAUAACACUGUUUGUUAGACUGGUGGCUUGCAUAGGAAAAGAAGGAAUGAAGGUGGAGGAAAAUAAAAAAAUGAGAAAAGGAAAAUUGAGAAGAAAGAAAAAGAUAAUGCAUGA
Long non-coding RNA from Melozone crissalis (California towhee), 674 nucleotides. RefSeq lists it as uncharacterized. The transcript is spliced from 3 exons. The record is from RefSeq and is a predicted model, not a curated record. Lineage: Eukaryota; Metazoa; Chordata; Aves; Passeriformes; Passerellidae.